Molecule: long non-coding RNA, 359 nt
Filed under: Bos taurus (domestic cattle)
Lineage: Eukaryota; Metazoa; Chordata; Mammalia; Artiodactyla; Bovidae
Description: long non-coding RNA NONBTAT012180
Source: RNAcentral
GCAGUUAUAUCUCAGUUUAUUGGAUUGGAUAAAAUUAUUCUGUCACAGGGUGAGGCCCCUCCUUUCGUUUAUAAAGCUCAAUGUAUGAGGUCCUUCAUUUCACUGGAUGCAUGGGAAUGAUGUAGCUUGGUAAACUUCAUAUUUACUUUUAGAUGAAGUGGAUUCUUACACCAGUAGGUAGCGGUCUGCUUUUGUAUCUCCACCUCAAGAAAUACGUUGGAAUAACAAAAAUGCCAGGCCUGAAAACCCUAAAGUAGAACUAAGCUGUCCAUCAGAAUGUGAGUCACCUUUAGGGAUGACUGUAUUUCCCAAGGACAGUCAAAUUUCAGGAUAUUCUUCCUCUACUUCCAUUGUCCAUU